UACCAAGGCAACGAUCUAUAGCUGGUCUGAGAGGACGAUCAGCCACAUCGGGACUGAGACACGGCCCGGACUCCUACGGGAGGCAGCAGUGAGGAAUAUUGCACAAUGGGGGAAACCCUGAUGCAGCAACGCCGCGUGGAGGAUGACGCAUUUCGGUGUGUAAACUCCUUUUAUAAGGGAAGAAAAUGACGGUACCUUAUGAAUAAGCACCGGCUAACUCCGUGCCAGCAGCCGCGGUAAUACGGAGGGUGCAAGCGUUACUCGGAAUCACUGGGCGUAAAGGACGCGUAGGCGGAUUGGAAAGUCAGAUGUGAAAUCCUACAGCUUAACUGUAGAACUGCAUUUGAAACUUCUAAUCUAGAGUAUGGGAGGGGGAGAUGGAAUUAGUGGUGUAGGGGUAAAAUCCGUAGAUAUCACUAGGAAUACCGAAAGCGAAGGCGAUCUCCUGGAACAUAACUGACGCUAAGGCGUGAAAGCGUGGGGAGCAAACGGGAUUAGAUACCCCGGUAGUCCACGCCCUAAACGAUGAACACUAGUCGUCGGGAUGCUAGUCAUCUCGGUGAUGCACUUAACAGAUUAAGUGUUCCGCCUGGGGAGUACGGUCGCAAGAUUAAAACUCAAAGGAAUAGACGGGGACCCGCACAAGUGGUGGAGCAUGUGGUUUAAUUCGAAGAUACGCGAAGAACCUUACCUAGCCUUGACAUUGAAGAAACACACUAGAGAUAGAGUGGUGCCCUUCGGGGAAUCUGAAAACAGGUGCUGCACGGCUGUCGUCAGCUCGUGUCGUGAGAUGUUGGGUUAAGUCCCGCAACGAGCGCAACCCUCGUCCUUAGUUGCCAGCAGGUUAAGCUGGGCACUCUAAGGAGACUGCCUUCGUAAGGAGGAGGAAGGUGAGGACGACGUCAAGUCAUCAUGGCCCUUAUGGCUAGGGCUACACACGUGCUACAAUGGGGCGUACAGAGAGUUGCGAUACCGCGAGGUGGAGCCAAUCUCAUAAAGCGUCUCUCAGUUCGGAUUGAAGUCUGCAACUCGACUUCAUGAAGCUGGAAUCACUAGUAAUCGUAGAUCAGCAAUGCUACGGUGAAUACGUUCCCGGGUCUUGUACUCACCGCCCGUCACACCAUGGGAGUUGAUUUCACCCGAAAUUGGGAAGCUAACCUUCGGGGGGCUACCACUUACGGUGGAAUUAGCGACUGGGGUGAAGUCGUAACAAGGUAACC
RNAcentral lists this ribosomal RNA (1220 nucleotides) under uncultured bacterium. Its description in RNAcentral is "bacterial SSU rRNA". It matches the Rfam family "Bacterial small subunit ribosomal RNA", at positions 266 to 1501 of the family's 1533-position model. The record is from RNAcentral.